Molecule: long non-coding RNA, 276 nt
Organism: Lolium perenne
Lineage: Eukaryota; Viridiplantae; Streptophyta; Magnoliopsida; Poales; Poaceae
Source: RefSeq, a predicted model, not a curated record
UCGUCACCACUACUCCGCCAUCAAGCCCCCUUGCUCCUUCACCAAAAAGGACAAGGAUUGAAACGAUCAUUGAGCCUGCCCCUCAAUUGGGUAGCUCUUCUACUCCGCUCUUGGAUGAUCCCAUGAUCAAAGAGCUUAUUCGCAUCGGAUCCCAAUUCAUUGGGUACCGUGAGUAUGCCAGCAGAACUGAAGAGAAACUUGCAGAGGCCAACAAGCUUGCCGACACUCUUGCUCAAACACUGGAGCAAAGUGAAGCGGCCCGCAAGAAAGCCAAAC